This is a non-coding RNA of Rattus norvegicus (Norway rat), 1411 nucleotides long. NCBI's taxonomy places the organism in Eukaryota, Metazoa, Chordata, Mammalia, Rodentia, Muridae. The record is from RefSeq and is a predicted model, not a curated record.
AACAACUAAAUAUGUGUUUCACUAUGCAGCCCUGGCUGGCCUAAUACUAAUUAAGAUGUUAAUUACUAAUAAUGAUUAAUAGCUAUUAAUUAUUUUGCUAUUAAUUAAAUGUUAAUUUUUUUUUGUUCUUUCAAUUGGCCAGGCUGUGACUUUUUACUAACUGACCAGAUUAUAAAAAUACCACGGGCGACAACGCUUUUGUUCAUCCAUCUGAUAAGCCUGCUAAUCCAGUCUUCCCUGUUGCCAGCAUUUUCACCUUCUACAAAGUGAGCAGUGCACAUAGAGGUGGGCAGAGAACAGGUAAACUUCCGUACCACGAAGACGCCGUAUUAAUUUAGCCUGCGACUAACUAUCCAGUGCACAAGUUGGCCAGGGUUGGCGGAAGAGAACAGGAUCCAGAGCAGCGCAGGGUUGAGGGUGGCGUGCUCUAGGAUAGCACAGGAGGCACCGGAUACCUGCACGGCCAAAAGCGAAGACGACACGAGUUAGGGUACAGACAAGAACCCCGAAGACAGACGGGGCGCAAAGGUGGGUGAGGACAGUGCUUCCUGAAAUGAAGAUGAAUUUUGCACAAGUCGCACCAGGCCGUGGGAAGGAAUGAUAUACAAGCGGACGGGCCAGACGGUAGAGGAACAGGGUCAUCCGGGAAGGAAAUAAAGCCUAUGAUUCUCUGCAUUUACGGGGCAGGGGACACAGAUGUCUGGAACUCAGAAAAAGUGUAAACUGGGAAUUGGAAUAUCAGUGUGGAGGAUCUGUCAUGGGGAUGGGUGACAAGGGAAGACAGGAAAAUGCACAUGGCGUUCCAGAACAGCGGGUAACGUACAGACAGAAGGAUAGACCAGAAGUCUACAGAAGACCAAUAUUUAAGGAAGACAGAGGAGAGGAGGAGAAUAAAGAAUAUACUCGGAUAGUCAUAAAUGGCCUCUGUGGACAAUCUAGGAUGUGCAUAUAAUAGGAAGUGUGUGGUAUGUGUGUGUUUCCAAGUGUGGCUCAGUUUACCUAAUGCUCUCCAGCUGCAUUCGUUUUCCUAUAAAUACCAUGAUUCCACCUUCUUUAUGUUAAACUCGGUACCACUGUAUGGAUGUGCCAUGUUUUCUCUAUUCGUAGAAAUAUUAACAUACAAUAAUGUACACAUACACACUGAUAGUGUGAUAUAUACAUUGGUAGUAUAUGUCAUACAUAUGGGAGCCAGUGGCCAAUGGGGAGGAAACUCUGUGAGGAGGAACGGAGGCAGCCCGUGCACACUAAGAAUCAGAAUGGACUUAGGGGGUCAAAGUUCAUUGGUCACCUAUGGCAAUGCACAGAUGCUCAUUUAUCACACCAGGGCUAUAGGGUGAAAAGAACACUGCACGUCAGUUCUAUAACAGGACACAGGGAUCCACCAUUUGGGGGUCUCAAGACAAAACAAAAA